This 1090-nucleotide ribosomal RNA is filed under the name Anabaena sp. Drouzk14. Its description in RNAcentral is "partial 16S ribosomal RNA". It matches the Rfam family "Bacterial small subunit ribosomal RNA", at positions 406 to 1512 of the family's 1533-position model. The record is from RNAcentral. Lineage: Bacteria; Bacillati; Cyanobacteriota; Cyanophyceae; Nostocales; Nostocaceae.
GGAGGAGGCUCUUGGGUCGUAAACCUCUUUUCUCAGGGAAGAAAAAAAUGACGGUACCUGAGGAAUAAGCAUCGGCUAACUCCGUGCCAGCAGCCGCGGUAAUACGGAGGAUGCAAGCGUUAUCCGGAAUGAUUGGGCGUAAAGGGUCCGCAGGUGGUACUGUAAGUCUGCUGUUAAAGAGCAAGGCUCAACCUUGUAAAAGCAGUGGAAACUACAGAACUAGAGUGCGUUCGGGGCAGAAGGAAUUCCUGGUGUAGCGGUGAAAUGCGUAGAUAUCAGGAAGAACACCGGUGGCGAAAGCGUUCUGCUAGGCCGCAACUGACACUGAGGGACGAAAGCUAGGGGAGCGAAUGGGAUUAGAUACCCCAGUAGUCCUAGCCGUAAACGAUGGAUACUAGGCGUGGCUUGUAUCGACCCGAGCCGUGCCGGAGCUAACGCGUUAAGUAUCCCGCCUGGGGAGUACGCACGCAAGUGUGAAACUCAAAGGAAUUGACGGGGGCCCGCACAAGCGGUGGAGUAUGUGGUUUAAUUCGAUGCAACGCGAAGAACCUUACCAAGACUUGACAUCCUGCGAAUCUCGGUGAAAGCUGAGAGUGCCUUCGGGAGCGCAGAGACAGGUGGUGCAUGGCUGUCGUCAGCUCGUGUCGUGAGAUGUUGGGUUAAGUCCCGCAACGAGCGCAACCCUCGUUUUUAGUUGCCAGCAUUAAGUUGGGCACUCUAGAGAGACUGCCGGUGACAAACCGGAGGAAGGUGAGGAUGACGUCAAGUCAGCAUGCCCCUUACGUCUUGGGCUACACACGUACUACAAUGCUACGGACAAAGGGCAGCAAGCUAGCGAUAGCAAGCAAAUCUCAUAAACCGUAGCUCAGUUCAGAUCGAAGGCUGCAACUCGCCUUCGUGAAGGAGGAAUCSCUAGUMAKUGCAGGUCAGCUUAMUGCAUYGAMUUYGUUCCCGUSCCUGGUACACAGAACCUGUCUCACCMURGAAKUUGGUCCCKCCSGARGUCAUUACCCCARCYGAAWGGAGGGCGAYCCYUAUGGURGGAMKGGYGAYKGGGGGGAUGUMGUAACAAGGUAGCCGUACCGGAAGG